Molecule: long non-coding RNA, 1734 nt
Filed under: Cebus imitator (Panamanian white-faced capuchin)
Lineage: Eukaryota; Metazoa; Chordata; Mammalia; Primates; Cebidae
Description: lncRNA (ENSCCAG00000038229.1)
Source: RNAcentral
GAACUACUCGUUGGUGGUGACACUGCCACUGCUGCCUGGUGGGGACAAGCCCUGGAUGUGGCCCGGGUGACCAGCUACCUGGUGAAGGAGAAGUUGCUGUGGCCACUCCGAGAGCUGUCCAGGGCAAAUGUGUUGCCAAGUCCUACCGGCUCAGACACCACCUGCUGCAGGGUCCCCAGGAGUACCAUGCCCUGGUGGCCAGGGCCCAGCCUGUGGUGACUUUCAAUGGCCAGGUGUGGGACCUCAGCACCCAGUGCAGCAGGGUCCUUCUGGCCCAAGGCUUUUCUCACAACACAUUCUCCCUGAUGCUGAGUCAGAGAGGCUUGGGGCGCAUGGCCCUGACCAUGGAGCUGAACCACAUGACCUCAUCUUCUACCCAAGCCUGCAGGUGAGGAGGAGAGGCCCGGGCUUUCCCUGUAGACCUGUGCCUGUGGCAGGUCACCUGAGGGGAUGGCCCUUUCAAGCUUGUCCCAUUUGUGGGUCAGCCCUCCUGCCCACCCACUCUGGCCCACAGGCUUACAGGCUGUACAACUCCUCCGUGCUGGGGGAGAGCUGUCCAGACCUCCAGCUGCCUCCUGCCAUGACAAGGAGGGAUGUCAUCAGGAUUGAGCUGGCCAGUGAGGACGGGGUCUCUGUCACCUGUGACGUGCCCACCAGCCACUGCAGCCUGACUCUGGGCCUCUGGCAUCACGGCAGAUCCACCAGCCUUCUGGGCACCAACGACAAUGAAGCAGGCAAUGAGCUGAUGUUGCUGGACAGCUCUGUGGUCCACAGCCCAGAGGAGCUCAGCCUGGUCUGGCAGGUGAGCGGCUGCACAUGCCCUUCCUCCCUCCAGCUGAGGCUCUGUAGGGCUGCUCGCUGCAGAGUUCCAGGAAAGGCAGGUGGCUUGCUGGCUCUGCAGAGACUUUAUAGGCCCAAGGUUUGGAGGAAUCUCCUGCUGAGGUUGCUGUAUGUUGGGGAGCCACAUGGUCCAGCGAGAGGCCUGAGUCUUAUCUGUUCUGCCAGGUGGAUGGUGACUGCAGGGCCACCAAGAAGACUCAGCAGGCCUGCCCAGGACAGAGGCCCAACUGCCGGGCCUUCUUUCAGGAUGCCCCGCUCCAGCUUGGGGAACUGCUUCUGGGUGCUCCUUGAUGAGGGCAAGAUUCUUGGCUGGGACAGAAUAACCAGCAUGGAAUGCUGGGAAACUCAGAACCACACGUGCUGCAAAUGCAGGGAAGAAGAGCUGUUUGCCACUGCGCUCAAAAUACUUCUGAGGACAUGAAACUCUCUCAAUCGUCUGGGUAAUUCUCCCCCUUGCUUCACAUCUCCACUGUAAACCAAGAGAUAGCGCGGCCAGUGAUUUCCAGGCCUGCAGAGAGAGCUCUACCCAGCUCCUGUUCAUGCCCAAGGUAUUUAUUCAACAGCCAUGUGGGAAGCCACCGCUUCAGAAUGCUGACUGCGUGGAGGGGGACACGAAGCUGGGUUCUCAGCUGCCUGGUCCUGGCUUUCCCUGCCUGAUCCAGGGGUCUCCUGAGGCAGGAGGUUCUUUGAGGGGAACUGAUAGCUCUUCAGAAGCCCAGGUAGAGAACUGCUGUCUUUGGGGUAGACACACUGGGACUGAAUGCUUUGGAGGGCCUCUGUUCUUGUGGGGACACCUGUGAACUCAGGCCCCUAGGCUACAGCAUUCAAAGUUUUUUACUUUCUUUUUGAACAUAAGCUUUUCCUUGGAGUUUUCAACUGAAAAAUAAAGCUGGC